Molecule: unclassified non-coding RNA, 263 nt
Filed under: plant metagenome
Description: partial contains small subunit ribosomal RNA, internal transcribed spacer 1, and 5.8S ribosomal RNA
Source: RNAcentral
UUUCCGUAGGUGAACCUGCGGAAGGAUCAUUAUUGUAUAACCGAGGUGCGAGGGCUGUCGCUGACCCGAAAGGUCGUGCACGCCCGAGUGCCCUCACACACAUCCAUCUCACCCCUAUGGGCACCACCGCGUGGGUCCCCCUUUGGCUUGUUCGGAGGGGGGCUUACGUUUUCACACAAACUUUGUAUGCAGUGUAGAAUGUAUUUUUUGUUUUUGCGAUCACGCAAUCAAUACAACUUUCAACAACGGAUCUCUUGGCUCUC